Molecule: ribosomal RNA, 253 nt
Filed under: uncultured bacterium
Lineage: Bacteria
Description: partial 16S ribosomal RNA
Rfam family: Bacterial small subunit ribosomal RNA
Source: RNAcentral
UACGGAGGGUGCAAGCGUUAUCCGGAUUCACUGGGUUUAAAGGGUGCGUAGGCGGACAUGUAAGUCCGUGGUGAAAUCUCCGAGCUUAACUCGGAAACUGCCAUGGAUACUAUAUGUCUUGAAUGUUGUGGAGGUUAGCGGAAUAUGUCAUGUAGCGGUGAAAUGCAUAGAUAUGACAUAGAACACCAAUUGCGAAGGCAGCUGGCUACACAAAUAUUGACGCUGAGGCACGAAAGCGUGGGGAUCAAACAGG